RNAcentral lists this microRNA precursor (92 nucleotides) under Pelobates cultripes (western spadefoot toad). Lineage: Eukaryota; Metazoa; Chordata; Amphibia; Anura; Pelobatidae. The record is from RNAcentral.
AAAAUACCUGAGCAAUGUUUGCAGUAAGGCACGGUGUAUAUGUAUAUAUACACCGUGCCUUAAUGCAAACAUUGCAUAUAUAUAUAUAUAUA